AACGCUGGCGGCGUGCUUAACACAUGCAAAUCGAACGAGAAGAGAUGAGAAGCUUGCUUCUUAUCAAUUCGAGUGGCAAACGGGUGAGUAACGCGUAAGCAACCUGCCCUUCAGAUGGGGACAACAGCUGGAAACGGCUGCUAAUACCGAAUACGUUCUUUUUGUCGCAUGGCAGAGAGAAGAAAGGGAGGCUCUUCGGAGCUUUCGCUGAAGGAGGGGCUUGCGUCUGAUUAGCUAGUUGGAGGGGUAACGGCCCACCAAGGCGACGAUCAGUAGCCGGUCUGAGAGGAUGAACGGCCACAUUGGGACUGAGACACGGCCCAGACUCCUACGGGAGGCAGCAGUGGGGAAUCUUCCGCAAUGGACGAAAGUCUGACGGAGCAACGCCGCGUGAACGAUGACGGCCUUCGGGUUGUAAAGUUCUGUUAUACGGGACGAAUGGCGUAGCGGUCAAUACCCGUUACGAGUGACGGUACCGUAAGGGAAAGCCACGGCUAACUACGUG
RNAcentral lists this ribosomal RNA (505 nucleotides) under uncultured bacterium. RNAcentral describes it as "bacterial SSU rRNA". It matches the Rfam family "Bacterial small subunit ribosomal RNA", at positions 32 to 507 of the family's 1533-position model. The record is from RNAcentral.